GCUGGUUUGCAGGUCAAUUUGAAUAUAAAUCGUUCAACAUAUAGGCGUGUUUGGUUCGAAGUCGGAGUCGGAAUCGGAAUCGGAAUCGGAAUCAGAAUCGGAAUCAAAAUAAGCUGGAAUCGGAAUCGAAAUGACUCAUUACCUAAUUUUGUUUGGUUCAUCACCUGAAUCGGAAUCGGAAUAAAUUAUUCCCAUUAUCGAUGUUUGGUUUAAGUGGAUAUAAAAAACGUAAUCAAAUUAAUAUACUAACAUUAUCUUUAUAAUAUAUUAAUUUAAAUUCAAAUUAAAUAUUAAAUAUUAAAAAUUUACAUCAAAAUUUUGAAAUAAUGUCAAAAUUUUAAAUCUAUUUUUUUUUAAAAAAAAAUUAAACUU
RNAcentral lists this long non-coding RNA (372 nucleotides) under Ananas comosus (pineapple). Its description in RNAcentral is "long non-coding RNA (ACOM_LNC000514)". The record is from RNAcentral. Lineage: Eukaryota; Viridiplantae; Streptophyta; Magnoliopsida; Poales; Bromeliaceae.